UACCAUGUUAAUCGAGCGGACAGAUGGGAGCUCUGCUCCCUGUAUGUUAGCGGCGGACGGGUGAGUAACACGUGGGUAACCUGCCUGUAAGACUGGGAUAACUCCGGGAAACCGGGGCGUAAUACCCGGGAUGUUUGUUGAAACCGCAUGGUUCAGACAUAUAAAGGUGGCUUCGGCUACCACUGUACAGAUGGACCCGCGGCGCAUUAGCUAGUUGGUGAGGUAACGGCUCACCAAGGCGACGAUGCGUAUGCCGACCUGAGAGGGUGAUCGGCCAUCAUCUGGGACUGAGACACGGCCCAGACUCCUACGGGAGGCAUGCAGUAGGGAAUCUUCCGCAAUGGACGAUAAGUCUGACGGAUGCAAACGCCGCCGUGAGUGAUGAACGGUUUUCCGGAUCGUAAAGCUCUGUUGUUAGGAGAAGAACAGAGUGCCGUUCAAAUAGGGCGGACCUUGACGGUUACCUAACCCAGAAA
This 476-nucleotide ribosomal RNA is filed under the name Bacillus sp. LBBMA TR12. RNAcentral describes it as "bacterial SSU rRNA". It matches the Rfam family "Bacterial small subunit ribosomal RNA", at positions 52 to 490 of the family's 1533-position model. Lineage: Bacteria; Bacillati; Bacillota; Bacilli; Caryophanales; Bacillaceae. The record is from RNAcentral.